AGCGAACGCUGGCGGCAGGCCUAACACAUGCAAGUCGGACGAACUCUUCGGAGUUAGUGGCGGACGGGUGAGUAACACGUGGGAACGUGCCUUUAGGUUCGGAAUAACUCAGGGAAACUUGUGCUAAUACCGAAUGUGCCCUUCGGGGGAAAGAUUUAUCGCCUUUAGAGCGGCCCGCGUCUGAUUAGCUAGUUGGUGAGGUAACGGCUCACCAAGGCGACGAUCAGUUGCUGGUCUGCGAGGAUGGCCAGCCACACUGGGACUGAGACACGGCGCAGACUCCUACGGGAGGCAGCAGUGGGGAAUCUUGCGCAAUGGGCGAAAGCCUGACGCAGCCAUGCCGCGUGAAUGAUGAAGGUCUUAGGAUUGUAAAAUUCUUUCACCGGGGACGAUAAUGACGGUACCCGGAGAAGAAGCCCCGGCUAACUUCGUGCCAGCCGCCGCCGUAA
RNAcentral lists this ribosomal RNA (449 nucleotides) under uncultured bacterium. RNAcentral's name for it is "partial 16S ribosomal RNA". It matches the Rfam family "Bacterial small subunit ribosomal RNA", at positions 29 to 523 of the family's 1533-position model. The record is from RNAcentral.